This 735-nucleotide ribosomal RNA is filed under the name Triticum aestivum (bread wheat). Its description in RNAcentral is "partial small subunit ribosomal RNA". Lineage: Eukaryota; Viridiplantae; Streptophyta; Magnoliopsida; Poales; Poaceae. The record is from RNAcentral.
AUGAGAGAAAUUGGUGAUAAGAAAUUCUCUGUGCUUGUCGAUGAGUCAUGUGAUAUAUCUGUCAAAGAGCAAAUGGCGGUGAUGUUGAGGUAUGUCAAUGAUAAAGGGAAAACCGUGGAACGAGUUCUCUCUCUAUACCAUGCCAGUGAGACUACAUCAGAGGCACUAAAGUAUGUCUCCUUAAUUGUGAGCACAACUACUGUAUCUUGCAAGAGAAGGGAUUCACUGAGGGAGGAACGCCAUCAAAAUAUCUUAGAUCAGCUUGAGAGCGGUGAGAUAUUUAGUGGAAGAGUUGGUGAUGUCAAAGCUCGGCUGGCCUCUAUGAGAGAAAGUGGUUGGGAAAGCUUGUUCGACGAAGUCCAACACUUCUGUGUCGCCAAAGGUAUUCCAGUGCCGGAUAUGAAUGAAAGAAUACUGGUCCGAGGUCGUUCAAGGCUUGAUGGUGUGACCUACACCAAUCUUCAUUUCUAUCGAGUUGAGAUCUUGGUCAUCAGAGACGAGGAGAAGUUCAAGGCGCAAUUUGCCGCCAUCAUGGCGCGUGGGUGGAAGAAAGCCGAGGAGGAGGUUGGGGAGGGCGAGAAGGCACGACCGCGGGGAAAGACCAACUCCAAGAAGGAGGACAAGCGGGAUGCGGCGUUAAUCGCCUUGAUCGCAACCGUGGAGGGCCUUAUGACCAAGAAGGACUCAAGGGAGGAGAAGCGCCGGCAAGACAACAGAACUUACAACGACACAUGA